Non-coding RNA from Acanthosepion pharaonis, 116 nucleotides. The record is from the annotation of a GenBank genome assembly. NCBI's taxonomy places the organism in Eukaryota, Metazoa, Mollusca, Cephalopoda, Sepiida, Sepiidae.
CGGCCGUAUCACGUUGAAACACCGGUUCUCGUACAAUCAACGAAGUUAAGCAACGUCGAGCCUGGUCAAUACCUAGAUGCGUGAACGCUUCGGAAGAAUAUACCAGGUGCUGCAUG